Molecule: non-coding RNA, 316 nt
Organism: Sus scrofa (pig)
Lineage: Eukaryota; Metazoa; Chordata; Mammalia; Artiodactyla; Suidae
Source: RefSeq, a predicted model, not a curated record
AGGUGGCAGCAGGGGAGGGGGAGCCCUGUGGAUGGGAGGGACGUCCAGACAGAGGGAAGGAGGUGACAAAGGACAAAGCAGAGAAGGGCCUUUAAAACAUGAGAGUUCUUCAAAAACAUAAGAGUUGCACCAAAUGAUCCACUGGUGCUGAAAUGAAGGCGCUCUCUCCAGUUGGCGCUUCUUCACAGGUGGAGCUGGAAAAGGGCCAUGGAAGCCCCGUCAUGUUCUUGCUGACAGACACGAAUACCACGUGCUGAAAACCUCGCCCUGGGGAGAAUUCUGCCUUUGAUUCUUGUGAACCAGCAAAUGGAAAUCA